AUCCAGCUGACGAGUCCCAAAUAGGACGAGACGUGCAUCCCAGAU
This 45-nucleotide non-coding RNA is filed under the name Schistosoma haematobium. Lineage: Eukaryota; Metazoa; Platyhelminthes; Trematoda; Strigeidida; Schistosomatidae. The record is from RNAcentral.